Molecule: ribosomal RNA, 397 nt
Filed under: uncultured bacterium
Lineage: Bacteria
Description: bacterial SSU rRNA
Rfam family: Bacterial small subunit ribosomal RNA
Source: RNAcentral
UGAGGAAUAUUGCACAAUGGGCGAAAGCCUGAUGCAGCAACGCCGCGUGAGGGACGAAGGCCUUCGGGUCGUAAACCUCUUUUCUGGGGGACGAGUAAGGACGGUACUCCAGGAAUAAGUCUCGGCUAACUACGUGCCAGCAGCCGCGGUAAAACGUAGGAGGCGAGCGUUAUCCGGAUUUACUGGGCGUAAAGCGUACGCAGGUGGCUUCGUUAGUCGGACAUGAAAGCUCCUGGCUUAACUGGGAGAGGUUGUUCGAUACCGCGGGGCUUGAGGUUGGGAGAGGGACGUGGAAUUCCCGGUGUAGUGGUGGAAUGCGUAGAUAUCGGGAGGAACACCAGUGGCGCAAGCGGCGUCCUGGCCCACACCUGACGCUGAGGGACGAAAGCGUGGGUAG